UUGCCAUCAUCAUCCAAUUGGACAGCAUGGAUUAUUGAUAUUCUAGUAUCUUCAGUGAGAUGUUUUUACCACCAAGAUCUGAGGAUACCAGUGAAUCCACUAACUAUCAAUUCAACAAUGUCUGGUUGAGACAAAUUAUUGAAUUUAGUUAUGUAAUUAUUUGCUACCAUAGACAUAUGAUUCAAUUUAUUUAAAAUUUCUUGUUCACUAAACCCAUCAAUGUUCCAUUCAUACAUUUUAUUAGAUGAAACU
RNAcentral lists this long non-coding RNA (252 nucleotides) under Panax ginseng (ginseng). RNAcentral describes it as "long non-coding RNA (PGIN_LNC003419)". Lineage: Eukaryota; Viridiplantae; Streptophyta; Magnoliopsida; Apiales; Araliaceae. The record is from RNAcentral.